RNAcentral lists this ribosomal RNA (1325 nucleotides) under metagenome. Its description in RNAcentral is "bacterial LSU rRNA". It matches the Rfam family "Bacterial large subunit ribosomal RNA", at positions 1561 to 2925 of the family's 2925-position model. The record is from RNAcentral.
AGUGGAUGGGGAGCAACCUAGUUGUGAGUGUGGAAAGGUAGUGCCAAGAAAAGCUGUCAGAAUGAUGAGAAUUGAGUCCCGGUACCCGAAACCGACACAGGUAGGCAAGUAGAGAAUACUAAGGGGCGCGAGGUAACUCUCUCCAAGGAACUCGGCAAAAUGACCCCUUAACUUAGGGAGAAGGGGUGCCACCGAGAGGUGGUCGCAGUGAAGAGGCCCAGGCGACUGUUUAGCAAAAACAUAGGUCUCUGCAAACUCGAAAGAGGAAGUAUAGGGGCUGACGCCUGCCCAGUGCCGGAAGGUUAAAGAAGUUGGUCAGGAGAAAUCUGAAGCUGGCGACUGAAGCCCCGGUGAACGGCGGCCGUAACUAUAACGGUCCUAAGGUAGCGAAAUUCCUUGUCGGGUAAGUUCCGACCCGCACGAAAGGCGUAACGAUCUGGGCGCUGUCUCGGAGAGAGGCUCGGCGAAAUAGGAUUGUCUGUGAAGAUACGGACUACCUGCAUUUGGACAGAAAGACCCUAUGAAGCUUUACUGUAGCUUGAAAUUGUGUUCGGGCUUCCUGUGCGCAGGAUAGGUGGGAGGCGAGGAAGGUCUGCUUGUGGGCAGAUUGGAGCCAACCGUGAGAUACCACUCUCAGGAGGCUAGAAUUCUAACUUAAUUAAGGACAGUUUCAGGUGGGCAGUUUGACUGGGGCGGUCGCCUCCAAAAAGGUAACGGAGGCGUACAAAGGUUCCCUCACACUGGUUGGAAAUCAGUGGCAGAGUGCAAAGGCAGAAGGGAGCUUGACUGCGAGACGGACAAGUCGAGCAGGGUGGAAACACGGUCUUAGUGAUCCGACGGUGCUGUGUGGAAGGGCCGUCGCUCAACGGAUAAAAGUUACUCUAGGAUAACAGGCUGAUCUCCCCCAAGAGUUCACAUCGACGGGGAGGUUUGGCACCUCGAUGUCGGCUCAUCGCAACCUGGGGCGGAAGUACGUCCCAAGGGUUGGGCUGUUCGCCCAUUAAAGCGGUACGUGAGCUGGGUUCAGAACGCCGUGAGACAGUUCGGUCCAUAUCCGAUGUAGGCGUGAGAAUAUUGAGAGGAGCCUUCCUUAGUACGAGAGGACCGGGAAGGACGCACCGCUGGUGUACCUGUUAUGAUGCCAAUCGUAAACGCAGGGUAGCCAAGUGCGGAGAGGAUAACCGCUGAAAGCAUCUAAGUGGGAAGCCCACCUCAAGAUGGGUAUUCUGGUGUAAGGUCACGGGGAGACGACCCGUAGAUAGGCACGAGGUGGAAGUGCAGAGAUGUAUGAAGCCGAAGUGUACUAAUAGACCGUCGGCUUGACC